GUUCAUUACAAAAUAUUUCCUCAUCUUUGCCUUAAAAUACACUUUGAUUGUUGCUGUUUAAAAAUUAGCAAUUUUAAUCUAUAUACUACCAUUUGUGAAAAUAACAAUAUUUGGAGGGACUAAUGUGUUCUACAAUAUAGUAAUUUAGAGAUUAUAGUCCUAUUAAAAUUUGAAACUUUACUUCAGAUACUAAAGAGUAAUCUAAUCUAAAAUGUUAUGGACUUGAGUGUAGUGAUUUUAUAAUUUUAUAAUCAUGGACUAAAAAGUUGAAUUAUUAAGCGUCUUAAUUGAUUAAAAUUGCUAAUUUUCAAACAGUAUUAUAGUAAGGACCAAAGUGUA
This 339-nucleotide unclassified non-coding RNA is filed under the name Hevea brasiliensis (rubber tree). The record is from RNAcentral. Lineage: Eukaryota; Viridiplantae; Streptophyta; Magnoliopsida; Malpighiales; Euphorbiaceae.